RNAcentral lists this ribosomal RNA (294 nucleotides) under uncultured prokaryote. Its description in RNAcentral is "partial 16S ribosomal RNA". It matches the Rfam family "Bacterial small subunit ribosomal RNA", at positions 355 to 640 of the family's 1533-position model. The record is from RNAcentral.
UGGGGAAUUUUGCGCAAUGGGCGAAAGCCUGACGCAGCAACGCCGCGUGAGUGAUGAAGGCUUUCGGGUCGUAAAGCUCUGUCAAGGGGAAAGAAGUGUAUUGUGGUUAAUACCCAUGAUGCUUGACGGUACCCCUAAAGGAAGCACCGGCUAACUCCGUGCCAGCAGCCGCGGUAAUACGGGGGGUGCAAGCGUUGUUCGGAGUUAUUGGGCGUACAGCGCGUGUAGGCGGUUUGUUAAGUCUGAUGUGAAUGCCCCGGGCUCAACCUGGGAAGUGCAUUGGAAACUGGCAGA